CCUACGGGGGGCAGCAGUGAGGAAUAUUGGUCAAUGGGCUUACGCCUGAACCAGCCAAGUCGCGUGAGGGAAGACUGCCCUAUGGGUUGUAAACCUCUUUUGUCAGGGAGCAACGCCGACUACGUGUAGCCGGACUGAGAGUACCUGAAGAAAAAGCAUCGGCUAACUCCGUGCCAGCAGCCGCGGUAAUACGGAGGAUGCGAGCGUUAUCCGGAUUUAUUGGGUUUAAAGGGUGCGUAGGCGGAAUGCCAAGUCAGCGGUAAAAUCGCGGGGCUCAACCUCGCUCCGCCGUUGAAACUGGCGGUCUUGAGUGGGCGAGAAGUAUGCGGAAUGCGUGGUGUAGCGGUGAAAUGCAUAGAUAUCACGCAGAACUCCGAUUGCGAAGGCAGCAUACCGGCGCCCAACUGACGCUGAAGCACGAAAGCGUGGGUAUCGAACAGGAUUAGAUACCCCAGUAGUC
Molecule: ribosomal RNA, 460 nt
Filed under: uncultured bacterium
Lineage: Bacteria
Description: partial 16S ribosomal RNA
Rfam family: Bacterial small subunit ribosomal RNA
Source: RNAcentral